This is a long non-coding RNA of Gastrolobium bilobum, 802 nucleotides long. RefSeq lists it as uncharacterized. NCBI's taxonomy places the organism in Eukaryota, Viridiplantae, Streptophyta, Magnoliopsida, Fabales, Fabaceae. The transcript is spliced from 3 exons. The record is from RefSeq and is a predicted model, not a curated record.
UUUGUCUUUAGUGAGAUGACAAGAAAGUUAAUCCAUUAGUUAUUAAGUGUACCCAAAGUCGGUUGUUUUUUUUUAAGCUUCAUUUCCACGAUUUAUUCUUUGUUUCUUCUUCUUCUACAGUCGAGCGUAUAUGAGAGAAAAGGGCAAGAGUGCAUCGUUUUUUUCAUCAUCUUUCUACUUAGGUUUCUUCAUAGAAAGUAAAGGCUAUGACCUUGUAAACAUAUUCCGUGGUGUAGUUCUUUGAGAGAAACUCUCUAAAGUGAGAAAAUCCUCUCAUUUUCUUGUGAAAUACAUGCUGUCAAGAAGGGGUUUAUGUGAUCUUCUUCACUUUUAAGCUUGGGAUUGUUGAAUAGUUGAAGUGGAAGCUAGACAAGUGAAAAGCAAGAGGAGUGAAUCCCAGAAAUUCGAACCCUAUGAGACGGACUACACGUGGAUAGCUAAGUUCAUAGUCUUCGUGUAAAACAAGUUAUAGAAACGGAAAACAUUCAGGUAACGCAGCAGUUGACGACCGUUCUCGAGGCAAGAGGCCCGUGGCUGAUGAGUAGAUCUCUGAGCAUAAAUGUUGCCUUCUUAUUUUGGGAGUCUGUUGUAUAUAUAUGUUCCACUGUGAUCUGGCUAUUUGAUAUUUUGCCGAUGCAUGGUUAUUAGCUAGGCUUUUGACAGGCUAUACUAGCUUGUGUACAGAUUUAUAUAUUUGUGACACUGUGAUGUAUUAUGUUUAUGUAGGUUGAUGUAGGAUGUUGUAGUUAUGGCACAAAGCCACCUUUUUGAUGUGAUAUAUAUAGAGUUAUGGAUCAGGUCG